UGCACUUGAUGGACGCACGAGUGUCUGA
Molecule: small RNA, 28 nt
Filed under: Bombyx mori (domestic silkworm)
Lineage: Eukaryota; Metazoa; Arthropoda; Insecta; Lepidoptera; Bombycidae
Description: piRNA piR-bmo-1311674
Source: RNAcentral